AUUGAACGCUGGCGGCAGGCCUAACACAUGCAAGUCGAACGGUAACAGGAAGAAGCUUGCUUCUUUGCUGACGAGUGGCGGACGGGUGAGUAAUGUCUGGGAAACUGCCUGAUGGAGGGGGAUAACUACUGGAAACGGUAGCUAAUACCGCAUAACGUCGCAAGACCAAAGAGGGGGACCUUCGGGCCUCUUGCCAUCGGAUGUGCCCAGAUGGGAUUAGCUAGUAGGUGGGGUAACGGCUCACCUAGGCGACGAUCCCUAGCUGGUCUGAGAAGAUGACCAGCCACACUGGAACUGAGACACGGUCCAGACUCCUACGGGAGGCAGCAGUGGGGAAUAUUGCACAAUGGGCGCAAGCCUGAUGCAGCCAUGCCGCGUGUAUGAAGAAGGCCUUCGGGUUGUAAAGUACUUUCAGCGGGGAGGAAGGGAGUAAAGUUAAUACCUUUGCUCAUUGACGUUACCCGCAGAAGAAGCACCGGCUAACUCCGUG
Molecule: ribosomal RNA, 490 nt
Filed under: uncultured bacterium
Lineage: Bacteria
Description: partial 16S ribosomal RNA
Rfam family: Bacterial small subunit ribosomal RNA
Source: RNAcentral